Molecule: ribosomal RNA, 253 nt
Filed under: uncultured bacterium
Lineage: Bacteria
Description: partial 16S ribosomal RNA
Rfam family: Bacterial small subunit ribosomal RNA
Source: RNAcentral
UACGAAGGGGGCUAGCGUUGCUCGGAAUCACUGGGCGUAAAGCGCACGUAGGCGGAUUGCUAAGUCAGGGGUGAAAUCCUGGAGCUCAACUCCAGAACUGCCUUUGAUACUGGCGAUCUCGAGUCCGGGAGAGGUGAGUGGAACUGCGAGUGUAGAGGUGAAAUUCGUAGAUAUUCGCAAGAACACCGGUGGCGAAGGCGGCUACCUGGACCGGUACUGACGCUGAGGCGCGAAAGCUAGGGUAGCAAACAGG